Non-coding RNA from Pelobates cultripes (western spadefoot toad), 230 nucleotides. The record is from the annotation of a GenBank genome assembly. Lineage: Eukaryota; Metazoa; Chordata; Amphibia; Anura; Pelobatidae.
CCAUUUUCAAUUUAUUUAAUCGGUAUAAGGAGAGUAAUCAGUUGGGAAGGUUGCCAAAUAUUGAGUAAAGAUGUAUUAAUAUAUUCCAUCUUUGUUUGCAUUAGUGAAUAAAAUGUAAAGGAUUUGUUAAGCAGCACACAACUCCGUAUGUAAAGCAAAAAAUUCAGUUGCUGCUUCAGGCAACCAUAAUAAUCAAAAAACCAAGAUUUGGGAAAUACGUGUAUUUCAAC